RNAcentral lists this transfer RNA (65 nucleotides) under Nesophrosyne sp. 246 GMB-2012. Its description in RNAcentral is "tRNA-Thr". It matches the Rfam family "tRNA". Rfam says of the family: Transfer RNA (tRNA) molecules are approximately 80 nucleotides in length. Their secondary structure includes four short double-helical elements and three loops (D, anti-codon, and T loops). The record is from RNAcentral. Lineage: Eukaryota; Metazoa; Arthropoda; Insecta; Hemiptera; Cicadellidae.
GUUUUAAUAGUUUAAACGAAAAUAUUAGUCUUGUAAACUAAAAUUAGGAGAAUUCCUUUAAAACU